Ornithorhynchus anatinus (platypus) is the source of this 138-nucleotide non-coding RNA. NCBI's taxonomy places the organism in Eukaryota, Metazoa, Chordata, Mammalia, Monotremata, Ornithorhynchidae. The record is from Rfam.
UAUCUCUCAGGGUUGCACCUGGAGAGUUUCCAGUACCCUACCAGUCUCGACUACGAGAGGGAGAAUCGAGCAGAGGCAUAUCCAUUCCAUUCCUAGCUUGGGCAGCGGCUAGCGCGUGGAAGGCCAUCCGCUACAAGU